CAGGGCGUAGCUACAACACAAAGCAUUCAGCUUACACCUGAAAGAUAUCUGCCAUUCCCAGAUCACCCUGA
RNAcentral lists this transfer RNA (71 nucleotides) under Ara militaris (military macaw). Its description in RNAcentral is "tRNA-Val". RNAcentral also lists the same sequence under 2 other names. Lineage: Eukaryota; Metazoa; Chordata; Aves; Psittaciformes; Psittacidae. The record is from RNAcentral.